RNAcentral lists this transfer RNA (73 nucleotides) under Mayetiola destructor (Hessian fly). RNAcentral's name for it is "tRNA-Met for anticodon CAU". It matches the Rfam family "tRNA". Rfam says of the family: Transfer RNA (tRNA) molecules are approximately 80 nucleotides in length. Their secondary structure includes four short double-helical elements and three loops (D, anti-codon, and T loops). Lineage: Eukaryota; Metazoa; Arthropoda; Insecta; Diptera; Cecidomyiidae. The record is from RNAcentral.
GCCUAGGUAGCGCAGUAGGCAGCGCGUCAGUCUCAUAAUCUGAAGGUCGUGAGUUCGAUCCUCACCUUGGGCA